GUGCAGCAGGCGCGAAUCGUGGACAAUGGGCGCAAGCCUGAUCCCGCGACGCCGCGUGGGGGAAGAAGGCCUUCGGGUCGUAAACCCCUGUCAGGGAGGAAGAAGUCCCGUUGGGUGAAUAACCCUUCGGGAUUGACGGUACUCCCAGAGGAAGCCCCGGCUAACUACGUGCCAGCAGCCGCGGUAAUACGUAGGGGGCGAGCGUUGCUCGGAUUUACUGGGCGUAAAGGGGGCGUAGGCGGCCCUGCAAGUCGGCGGUGAAAUCCCUCGGCUCAACCGAGGAAUUGCCUCCGAAACUGCAGGGCUUGAGGGCAGGAGAGGGGGGCGGAAUUCCCGGUGUAGCGGUGAAAUGCGUAGAUCUCGGGAGGAACACCGGAGGCGAAGGCGGCUCCCUGGACUGUCCCUGACGCUGAGGCCCGAAAGCCA
Molecule: ribosomal RNA, 426 nt
Filed under: uncultured microorganism
Description: bacterial SSU rRNA
Rfam family: Bacterial small subunit ribosomal RNA
Source: RNAcentral